RNAcentral lists this unclassified non-coding RNA (223 nucleotides) under uncultured Lysobacteraceae bacterium. Its description in RNAcentral is "uncultured Xanthomonadaceae bacterium contains 16S-23S intergenic spacer region". The record is from RNAcentral. Lineage: Bacteria; Pseudomonadati; Pseudomonadota; Gammaproteobacteria; Lysobacterales; Lysobacteraceae.
UCCGGUUUGUCACCGGCGGUCUCCUUAGAGUUCCCACCAUUACGUGCUGGCAACUAAGGACAAGGGUUGCGCUCGUUGCGGGACUUAACCCAACAUCUCACGACACGAGCUGACGACAGCCAUGCAGCACCUGUGUUCGAGUUCCCGAAGGCACCAAUCCAUCUCUGGAAGGACUGCCCAGGAUAACGGGGAGGAAGGUGGGGAUGACGUGAGUGACCUUUGC